Molecule: long non-coding RNA, 934 nt
Organism: Salvia miltiorrhiza (redroot sage)
Lineage: Eukaryota; Viridiplantae; Streptophyta; Magnoliopsida; Lamiales; Lamiaceae
Exons: 2
Source: RefSeq, a predicted model, not a curated record
ACAGACGGCGGGGCGGGGUGGUCCGUGCGGCGGCGAGUGAUAGGCGGAUAGAGCGAAGGUUUUUUUUUUGUGAGACAGAGACGGCGAGCGAUGACUAUAAGUUUUUCACAGUGGUGGCUACCGGAUCUUUUCUCCUUACUGCUGCUCUCCUCGGUGCAGAAAGAAGAAAACGACUUGGGAUGAUGAAACCCCAGCGGCGCUUGAUUAAUUGGGAUGGGUGAAAUAUGUUUAGGGCUUUCAUUAUUUUACUUUUUAUACUAUUUGGAUUUAAGUACUCCGUGUUAGGGAAUUUUUGUGUAAUUUAAACUUGAGAGAAAAUAUGUGCGGAUGACAUCCAGUGUACCACAAAUUGUGUCCCACUCCAUGUCCCACAAGCAAAACUACGUAGUUUUGAUUAGUUUUGAUUAUAACUAAAGAUCAUACGUAUAUAUCUGUAUAAGAAAUCUCAGCUCGGCUCAUCGGCUUGAAGAUCUUCUCUUUUCCUUGAUAGAUAUGCUUCCUCCGUAUCUCAAGGAAAGUUUCCAAAUUUCUGCCGAAAAUUAUCUAGCCAUGGAAAUUAGAUAUUUUUUCGCCCAGUUCAUACGUUCUCCUGCUCAAAUCCAAAAUUCAAACUUCAAUCUGGUUCUACUCUUUUCUCUCGCCAUCCGGAGACGACAAUCGAAAUCACGCCGUCAAUUUUUUUGCAAGAACCCAAUUCGAAUUAUCGGUGAAAUGAAGAAUGACGACAACAUUGGCUUUCGAUUUUUUUUAUCAGACAUCAGUAGAGAAGCACUUUUUAUAGUAAUUAGAGUCUGUGAUUAAUCAAGAUUCAGCCUUUCUGCUGCAUUACAUUUGAGUGAUGAGACCUUGAAUGAGAUGAGUUGAUCUUGUAUUUACAGAUUACAGAAACUCUGAAACUUCUACUAACAUUAAGAAAGCCUCAACCUUUUUGUGG